GACGAAGGAUGCAAGCGUUAUCCGGAUUCAUUGGGUUUAAAGGGUGCGUAGGCGGACUGAUAAGUCAGUGGUGAAAUCUCUCAGCUUAACUGAGAAACUGCCAUUGAUACUGUUAGUCUAGAGUAUAGAUGACGUUGGCGGAAUAUGACAUGUAGUGGUGAAAUGCUUAGAUAUGACACAGAACACCGAUUGCGAAGGCAGCUCACUAAACUGUAACUGACGCUGAGGCACGAAAGCGUGGGGAGCAAACAGG
RNAcentral lists this ribosomal RNA (253 nucleotides) under uncultured bacterium. Its description in RNAcentral is "partial 16S ribosomal RNA". It matches the Rfam family "Bacterial small subunit ribosomal RNA", at positions 524 to 776 of the family's 1533-position model. The record is from RNAcentral.